CGGCCAUACCAAUACUUAUUGAUCGGAAAAGUAAACGAUUGGAACUAAAUGUAUUGAAUAAAAUACUUCUGAAAUGUCAGCAAAUUAUGUCAAGUUUAAUGGAGAGGAAUUUAUACAUCAAUAAACUAUAAAUCGGAUAUAUGGACAUACAAAGAGAAGGAUCGGUAUCAAUUUUACCUUACUUAAAAAAUUAUAACGUGGGGACUAUUAAAAUAAAUAAUUACUAAAUGGAGGUUAGUUAACAGAGGUAUUAAACAUUAAAAUUAAUCAGACAAUAAAAAUGACGACGUUUACUUCUACAGCUAGCACAACAGUAAAUACAACAGCCACUGAAUUGAUAUCCGACACCGACGACUCCGACGGAUGGAUAGAAUCCCCAACGCCGAGGAUAGUGUUUCUUUCGGUUUUCAUUUCAUUUGGAUUUUUUGGAAAUUUGUUCCUUAUCAUAACAGUGUGUCAGUCAAGGAAGUUCCGUUCAAUAGCAUUCUUUAUAUUUGUGAUACAUUUAGCUGUCAUAAAUUUAUGCGAAUGUGUAUUAAACAUGUCAGUGCUUUUGGCAUCAAGUAUUAUAAACGAAUGGAAGUUUGGAGAACUGGCAUGUAGAUUGAGCUCAUUUUGUUUGAAUUUAAUUGCUAUACAAACAGUCCUUAGUUUAACAAUCAGUACGGCAGACCGCCUGAUAGCCGUGCGCUACAAGGAACGGUACGAGCACGUGGUAUCAACGCCGAGAAUCGCGAUACUUAUUUCAUUCACGUGGUUGCAGUCGUUUUCAUUCAGUGUUCCGAUUGCAGUUGGUGUUGUUCCGACAAGUGUAAACUCUUACAUUGUUUAUUGUGCCAUAUCAACAAACUCAUCAGUUGUGUAUACCAUAUUUAGUAUUGUUCUAUGUUUCAUUGUUCCUUUUGUUUUAAUGAUUGUAUUUUUCGUCAAAAUCAUACGAACAGGUUAUUCAGAGAGAUUUCACAUUCGAAACAUUAUUGCACAACAUAAUUACAAUGAUGAAUCUGCAGAGGAGCCCCGAAUCAAGCAAGAUUUCCGGCAUGCUAAUUUGACGGGCACAAUUUGCAUAGCGUGGCUCAUUCUAGAAUCACCGCACGUGGUUACGUCAUAUUUCAACCAGCUUCAGAAUAGUUCUGAGGGCGAUAGUAUUGAGAGAGAGGAUUUACAAUACGUUUGGUAUGUGGACUUAGUGUUGCUAUGGUUACGAUUCUGUUAUGCAAUGGCACUUCCUAUUGCAUCAUUCACUUGGAGCAAGGACCUAUGGAAGAGUUUCAAAGACAUGAUUCUUUGUCGUAAAAAUAACUCGAUAGUUGAUGAAUCCUUCAAGAAAAAUGACAGCGACACUUUAAGGUUAGAAAAGAAAAUACGAGAAGAAAGAAUGAAAGAAAAGGAGGCUAUAAUAUCACCUAGGGAACAAAGGGUAUUCCAGGUCCCAGUGUUGUUUGCAACUUCACAUGGAGUACACAUACAGACUUCAAACAGUCAAACUGAAAUUAGUGACGAUGAUGAGGUGGAAAAUGAGCAGAGCAAGAGCACAAUAAAUGGCACGCUGAGAGGGAAGAAAUGUGAUGUUAUAGGUUCAAGAGACAAUCUGAACAACAUGGAAGAAGACACUAGUGAUUACGAUUCUGGAAACGAACUUGAUCCGUUUUCUGUUUCACAUCCAAUAUCAGUGAAACAAAUAAACAAGGAGAAUCUCACAGAUCGGAAGAGGUCACUAUCCGAGCCGGAGGUACGGGACAAGAUACAAGCAUUAGAUAAAAGUAGCAAUGGUCGAUCAGUUGGUUCAACGUCAGAGGGCGAUUCCGGUUUAGACCUUAGUACAUUGACAAAUGUGAAAACAUCAAAAAAAUUAUCAGUAUUCCAUGUGCCUAGUGAUAAGUUAGUUUUGCAUAACACAAACGACCAGCUUCAAACUGAAAUCAUGCAAAGUGGCUUUGUACCACCAUCUUUGAAUAUAUCUGGUGGGGAGAAGAAUAACGUGUAUGCUGAAUUUCCAGAUCAGGAUAAAGCAGUUGAAGAUGAUACAGUGUUAAAAAGUAAGGAAAGCGAUCUACGUUUUGAAUGUGAAAAAGGUGAAGGUAUUAAAAGCAAUACAAAAUCCUCUAAAAAGUCUCCGGAGAAAUCAUUGUCCGGUGCGACCGAAUCUCCAAUACCAAGAAGAAAGAAAAAGCGACGCAAAGAAAAGAAUUUUGAUACACAAAGUAUUACAUCAGCGACUUCCAUUGCGGGUAUUCCUCCUCGGCCGCCACCGAGACUGGCUCCCAUCACAACCAUUAAAACAUUGGCAUACGGGCCCGUUCGACCGGGUUCAAGUUGUUCGAGUCAGGUAUCCUUCACUGAUAGCAAUAUGGACGGCAGGCAAAGUGUACUGAGUUGUAACAGUUGUGGUGAUAUAACAAAACCGGAUGCAAUGUCGCUUGACAAUCUUUCAGUGUCUUCUUUGAAUACUCGGAAACACAAAAAGAGUGGGAAAUUCAAACAGAAUCUCUUGCAUGAAACUUUCAGUAAUCAUUUAUUGAACGAGAAUGAGAUUCUAACUUUGGAUUUAAAACGAGAAAUCAAAAGUGUUCCAGAAGAAGUGCUCACACCGUCAGACUGUAAUUUUGAAGAUAGGACUCCAGAAACUCAUAAACUGUAUCCAGAAACUGGAAUCCAAACCACUGAAACAGGGAUAGUGAAUACCGGGUAUGAACAGUGUUCAAAUGACGAUACCACAAAUGCGAUUCAAGAAGAGACACGAAUCAGAAACAACGAAGCACGAAGAAAGCGAAGGGAGAAACUGAUGUCUACCAAGGAGAAAAUAUCACCUUCAGUAUUGCUCAACGAUGGGAAAGGAUACCAGAGACUUGUCCCAGAAACUCCUUAGAAGGGGUACACAAUGGGCACAAAGACACGACAAGCACCUGCGAUAGAUCCUAUGGAAUGUGUGUUGAGUCACAUUUCAGGACAAAAGAAGAACAUAUGUAUCAAAACAAUUAAAUCAGGGAAAACCUUCAACCUCAUAUUACAACUACACAGUGAUUACUCCCCAACAUUGAUUACUCUAUGAUUACAUCGCGGUGAUUAAAUCACAUUGACUACUCCGUGGUGACUACAUGUACAUCAAAGUGAUUACUCCGCAGUAAAUACUCCACAGUUAUUACAUUACAGUGAUAAUGAUUACUUCACAGUGAAGAAAGUGCAUUGGAUACAUCACAGUGAUUAUUCCGCCGUGAUUAGUCCGCAAAUAUUACUCCGUAUUGAUAAACUCAUUAGUGGUAAAUCCACAGCGAUUACUCCGCACUCACAAUAACACCGUGCGUACUAUACAGUGAUAACACCGCAGUAACUUCACCGUGAUUGCUUCACCAAUUUAAAUGCACGGUUUUCACGCAUCACUAUAAGUAUGAGCUUCGUCAAGAUAUAGCAUUGUAUACAGUAACCUCCGUAGACUGACCACCUCCCUACAGUGACAGAUAUGUUUGCGCGACCAUUCCGCGAAGAAAUUAAUCUAAGGACUACAGCCUUGUACUGACAUUUGCAUUCGUGUUUUCUCUAGCGCUGUUAUUACUUUGUUUACAUUGUUAUUGCUCAUUGGAUACAUUCACAUUUUCACUGGAUGGUGCGUUUUGCAUGUUUAUCUUUUUAUUACAGACUUACAACAUAAUGACAUGGUGCUUCUUGCGAGAAAAUUUAAAUUUAAAACAUUUCAAUGACCAUAUAGAAUUAUUGAAAUACGCCUUCUAUUUUUUCGAGUUUAAAUUAAAGGUUAAAAUCUAAAAUUGUCCGACACCUUUAUUAUUAAGGGGUAAAAAAUGGCUUUGAUUAUAUUGUAGCUGUCACAUUUUGCCAUACAAUAUAAUAAGUUAUUAUUAUUUCCUAUUGUCAGUGUUAUCUUACACAUUUGUUCUGGGUUUGAAUAUUCGAUUAACAUUGCAGAUGUGUUAUUGAAUCCAUUUUUUCUUAUUACCUCCCUUUAAGUUCAUGCGUAGUGUUUUUCCAACCAUGUAAUUAUGCAUAAUAUUUGUGACUACAUUUCAGUUUGAAGACAAUAUAUAUGGACUGAUUUUGAAGUGUUGCUAUGAGCUACAGUACUGUAAUAAAAUUAUUACUGUUUUUUUCAGAAAAUAAGUGCCUAUACUGAAACUGAUAUGCAGUUUAUAUAUUAAUUAACGUACCUUUCAUCUUUUCAGUAUUUACUACCGGUAGUAUUUAGUACUUUUUAGCACAGUAAACAAGUAAAUAUCUACAUUGAAUUGCGCAAGUAAAAAUUAUAUAACAAAGAUUAGCAUUUGGUGUCUUCGUAAAAGAAAUGAUUUGGUAAACGAGACUGUAUACCCUAUUCUUUGACAAGUUUAUUUGUGAUAAUGCUAAUUUUUCCAAACAUGUAUUAUAUAUGAAUUACAAUACUGUUUUUAUUUAACGGAACCACAAGCGUAAACCUCUCCUCGUUUUGUUUGUAAGUUAUACACUUGACAACAAAAAGAAUUAUACUAUUGUUUUAAAAUUAGUACAAAUGUGUGUUUCUGGACAGUUUCACUAAAUCUGUAUAUACGGCACAUUACAACUUGAAGAAAAAAUGCAACAAUGUUGUCUUCAAACUCAGCGCAGCGAUUACCUCCCAUUGUAGUUACUGUAAGGGAAGAUAACUUCUUAAAGGUCCAUUACUAAGGGAAAGUGAGUUGGCAAUUUUUUUCAUAGCUAGUGCAUAGACUUCUGCAAGACACUAAAUAAUGAAGAUUGGCAGGUCAAAAUUUACAGAAGGUCUUUGGAACUCAAAGAAAUGUAUGUGUAUUAUUUUGAAAUUUCAAUGAAUCGACAAUAAAGACCCCCCAGGUCUUUUUAACUUUCUUCAUACUUCAUAGAAAAAUAAUUGUACAUAUACUGCGAUUGAUUUCGAAUUUCUACAAACCAACUUUCAUUUUCCAAUAAAAUGAAAUAGUUUCUGUGCUUUUUAAAAGAAAUUAAAAUGUUCACUUUCCUUAGUAUUGGACCUUUAAAAUAGAUUCUGCAGUCAUGUGAAACCAUCCUUGAUAUUACAAAAGAUUAUUUAUUUUGUUGUUUAUUACCUUUCACUGUUUGAGUUAAACUCUUUAUUUUUUGGUGACGUUUUAGUGUACCAAGUACUUGUAUAUGGCUAAAGAUGUUUUGAAUAUUUUGUAUAAAUAUUAUAUUAUGCCUCCCAACUUUUGUAAAAAGUUUAUUUAUAGUACUCUGUGUUUCACAUUGUUGAAUUUUGGAUAUUUUGUUAUAAAAUGAAAUAAAAUUGAGAAAAGAUGUUUU
Mercenaria mercenaria is the source of this 5265-nucleotide RNA transcript. RefSeq lists it as uncharacterized. The transcript has 3 exons. The record is from RefSeq and is a predicted model, not a curated record. NCBI's taxonomy places the organism in Eukaryota, Metazoa, Mollusca, Bivalvia, Venerida, Veneridae.